AGCGAACGCUGGCGGCAGGCUUAACACAUGCAAGUCGAGCGGGCACUUCGGUGUCAGCGGCAGACGGGUGAGUAACACGUGGGAACGUACCCUUUGGUUCGGAAUAAAGCUGGGAAACUAGCGCUAAUACCGGAUACGCCCUUUUGGGGAAAGGCUUGCUGCCGAAGGAUCGGCCCGCGUCUGAUUAGCUAGUUGGUGGGGUAAUGGCCUACCAAGGCGACGAUCAGUAGCUGGUCUGAGAGGAUGAUCAGCCACACUGGGACUGAGACACGGCCCAGACUCCUACGGGAGGCAGCAGUGGGGAAUAUUGGACAAUGGGCGCAAGCCUGAUCCAGCCAUGCCGCGUGAGUGAUGAAGGCCUUAGGGUUGUAAAGCUCUUUUGUCCGGGACGAUAAUGACGGUACCGGAAGAAUAAGCCCCGGCUAACUUCGUG
Molecule: ribosomal RNA, 433 nt
Filed under: uncultured bacterium
Lineage: Bacteria
Description: partial 16S ribosomal RNA
Rfam family: Bacterial small subunit ribosomal RNA
Source: RNAcentral